Molecule: non-coding RNA, 112 nt
Filed under: uncultured Reyranella sp.
Lineage: Bacteria; Pseudomonadati; Pseudomonadota; Alphaproteobacteria; Hyphomicrobiales; Reyranellaceae
Description: TPP riboswitch (THI element)
Rfam family: TPP riboswitch aptamer (THI element)
About the family: Vitamin B(1) in its active form thiamin pyrophosphate (TPP) is an essential coenzyme that is synthesised by coupling of pyrimidine and thiazole moieties in bacteria.
Source: RNAcentral
CCAAGGGGGGUCCCGUCAAGGGGCUGAGAUACCGAUGGUCGCCAGUCCAGCUGGCGUCGGCGCGGUGACCCUUUGAACCUGAUCCGGGUCAUGCCGGCGAAGGGACUGGAUA